Molecule: transfer RNA, 83 nt
Organism: Felis catus (domestic cat)
Lineage: Eukaryota; Metazoa; Chordata; Mammalia; Carnivora; Felidae
Rfam family: tRNA
About the family: Transfer RNA (tRNA) molecules are approximately 80 nucleotides in length. Their secondary structure includes four short double-helical elements and three loops (D, anti-codon, and T loops). Further hydrogen bonds mediate the characteristic L-shaped molecular structure. tRNAs have two regions of fundamental functional importance: the anti-codon, which is responsible for specific mRNA codon recognition, and the 3' end, to which the tRNAs corresponding amino acid is attached (by aminoacyl-tRNA synthetases). tRNAs cope with the degeneracy of the genetic code in two manners: having more than one tRNA (with a specific anti-codon) for a particular amino acid; and 'wobble' base-pairing, i.e. permitting non-standard base-pairing at the 3rd anti-codon position.
Source: Rfam
GCUCAGUUGGUUAAGGAUCUGACUCUUGAUUUUGGCUCAAAUCAUGAUCUCACCAUUUGUGGGUUUGAGUCCCACAUUGGGCU